Molecule: long non-coding RNA, 857 nt
Organism: Talpa occidentalis (Iberian mole)
Lineage: Eukaryota; Metazoa; Chordata; Mammalia; Eulipotyphla; Talpidae
Exons: 4
Source: RefSeq, a predicted model, not a curated record
CGGGUCGCUCGGCCUCCGCGCUUUCCGCCGGGGUGAUUCACCCGGCCUUAUGUAAAUCCCUGGGAAUUUCACCGGGCCGCAGAGGAUGAGACUCCAGCCCCGAGAGGAACCAGCCGUAGCAAACAACUUUGAACCCACACCCCACUUUCCUGUGCGCGCUCACCCGCCCUGGCCCCUGCGGGCUGGUGCGCCUGGAGGUUGGUGGCUCCGCCUUUCGUAGGGGAUUUGCAGGGAAUUCAGUCUCUCUGUGCAAUGAGAACACCUAGGCCAGCAACCCUACAUCCGUUCAUCCUUUCCACACAGCGUCUGUCCUCGGUUCUGGUCACAGAGCAAUGAAAUCCUCAGAUCCCGGCUCCACUGUGCCAUGGAGCCCAGGUUUCAGGUCAUCAGCUGGCACUGAUUGUUUUAUUCUCUAAAGAAUGAAUGUUCGAGAGUUUUCGAGCAAACUCCCUAAUGUCUGUAGCUGAGCUGAGGCAUCACAAGUGACCCCAUCAGGGCCCUUCACGCACAGACCCAAUGCCCCCUCAAGUGUUUCCGUAUGGACAGAGGUGGGGAAAACAAAACUUAGCCAGUAACUGACCUGAAGUCAUACUGCAAAUCAGCAGCAGCAAAUCUAGAACGAUGGAGGCCAAAUUCUCUGCAAAUUGUCAACGACUCGGAAAAGGGCGGCGUCACGGGGACACCAGCAGCAGCAGUAGAAGCCGAAGCAGCAGCAGUAGCAGCAGCAGUAGAAGCCACAGCCGAAGCCGAAAGAGAAGCCGAGAAGCAGCAGAACGAACGCCAGAGAGUCCAGAUAGAGUGAAGACUUGCUGCCAGCACCCCUGCCUGCCAUAUGCCUGGUGAACCCCAAAUAAAAA